UGGGCCUCUUCUUAUUUUGGGCUUUUCAAUUAUUAUUUUAAUUAAAAAGAGUAAGAAGGUUGGGGAUUGGCUUAUGUACAGGAUCAUGCGUGAUUCAGCAACUCGCUUUGUUCAUGAAGCAAGGUUUGUUCAGACAGACGGACAGGUUGGUUUGAUGGGAAAUGAGGCUUCUCUAAAUACCAUUGUUGCCUGCAUCCGAGUUUCCGUAGAGGGAGGGUGCCUACCCUGUGGACCUCAUUGGCCUCGACAUGGAAGCUCAUUGUCCAAACGGCUUGGACUUGUAUAGGCUCUUUCCAUGUUUUUCUCAACUGCUAUACCUACCAAGGUCUUUUUUUCUCUUCUGGAAGAGGACACAACAUGUGCCCCUAUUUGUUUUCCUCUUUAGGUAAAAUAAGACUCAGGACAGUCUCCACAUCUCUUAGGUAAGACGUGUCCUUCUUCGUCUAGGGCUCUGUAACUCGUAGAUCAAGUUCUAGAGCAAGCGUUGCUUUAAAUACGUGAGCAAAGUUUGGGUUUAAUUUAAUAAAAUCCGAAAAACAAACGUUUUAGCUUUUGUUGUCACUCAUGCGGUGCACUGAAAAUGAUAUAAUGUGAUCGUAAUGUUUAUAAAAUGUCAUGCAGCAUUACUAUAAUAUAUGAUUAGCUUUUUUUUC
Long non-coding RNA from Raphanus sativus (radish), 653 nucleotides. RefSeq lists it as uncharacterized. The record is from RefSeq and is a predicted model, not a curated record. Lineage: Eukaryota; Viridiplantae; Streptophyta; Magnoliopsida; Brassicales; Brassicaceae. The transcript is spliced from 2 exons.